RNAcentral lists this ribosomal RNA (430 nucleotides) under Actinomycetes bacterium. RNAcentral's name for it is "Actinobacteria bacterium partial 16S ribosomal RNA". It matches the Rfam family "Bacterial small subunit ribosomal RNA", at positions 355 to 776 of the family's 1533-position model. The record is from RNAcentral. Lineage: Bacteria; Bacillati; Actinomycetota; Actinomycetes.
UGGGGAAUAUUGGACAAUGGGGGGAACCCUGAUCCAGCCAUGCCGCGUGUGUGAAGAAGGCCUUAUGGUUGUAAAGCACUUUAAGCGAGGAGGAGGCUCUCUUGGUUAAUACCCAAGAAGAGUGGACGUUACUCGCAGAAUAAGCACCGGCUAACUCUGUGCCAGCAGCCGCGGUAAUACAGAGGGUGCGAGCGUUAAUCGGAUUUACUGGGCGUAAAGCGUGCGUAGGCUGCUUUUUAAGUCGGAUGUGAAAUCCCCGAGCUUAACUUGGGAAGUGCAUUCGAUACUGGGAAGCUAGAGUAUGGGAGAGGAUGGUAGAAGUCCAGGUGUAGCGGUGAAAUGCGUAGAGAUCUGGAGGAAUACCGAUGGCGAAGGCAGCCAUCUGGCCUAAUACUGACGCUGAGGUACGAAAGCAUGGGGAGCAAACAGG